GUGCUCGCUUCGGCAGCACAUAUACUAAAAUUGGAACGAUACAGAGAAGAUUCGCAUGGCCACACGCAAAUUUGUGAAGCGUUUCUUUUUUUC
Molecule: small nuclear RNA, 93 nt
Filed under: Echinops telfairi (small Madagascar hedgehog)
Lineage: Eukaryota; Metazoa; Chordata; Mammalia; Afrosoricida; Tenrecidae
Source: RNAcentral